This 21-nucleotide small nuclear RNA is filed under the name Arabidopsis thaliana (thale cress). RNAcentral describes it as "snRNA_03169". The record is from RNAcentral. Lineage: Eukaryota; Viridiplantae; Streptophyta; Magnoliopsida; Brassicales; Brassicaceae.
CUCCUUCAAAUACUGGAAGGU